This 433-nucleotide ribosomal RNA is filed under the name uncultured Streptococcus sp. RNAcentral's name for it is "bacterial SSU rRNA". It matches the Rfam family "Bacterial small subunit ribosomal RNA", at positions 948 to 1382 of the family's 1533-position model. Lineage: Bacteria; Bacillati; Bacillota; Bacilli; Lactobacillales; Streptococcaceae. The record is from RNAcentral.
AAUUCGAUGCAACGCGAAAAACCUUACCACCUUUGACAUGUACGGAAUCCUUUAGAGAUAGAGGAGUGCUCGAAAGAGAACCGUAACACAGGUGCUGCAUGGCUGUCGUCAGCUCGUGUCAUGAGAUGUUGGGUUAAGUCCCGCAACGAGCGCAACCCUUGUCAUUAGUUGCUACAUUCAGUUGGGCACUCUAAUGAGACUGCCGGUGAUAAACCGGAGGAAGGUGGGGAUGACGUCAAAUCAUCAUGCCCCUUAUGACCUGGGCUACACACGUGCUACAAUGGUUGGUACAACGAGUUGCGAGUCGGUGACGGCGAGCUAAUCUCUUAAAGCCAAUCUCAGUUCGGAUUGUAGGCUGCAACUCGCCUACAUGAAGUCGGAAUCGCUAGUAAUCGCGGAUCAGCACGCCGCGGUGAAUACGUUCCCGGGCCUU